This 2435-nucleotide long non-coding RNA is filed under the name Triticum aestivum (bread wheat). Lineage: Eukaryota; Viridiplantae; Streptophyta; Magnoliopsida; Poales; Poaceae. The record is from RNAcentral.
UCCAUAUUCAUGCAGAAUUGCUCAUGAACUAAUACCCAACUCUUUCCAUUUAUUAGUUGAAUUCCUAUAACAAGUAACAAGUGUUUUAUUCCAAGAUUAAGUUAUUACUGAACAAAGAAAAAUUUUCUUUAUAUUAUAAAGGAUGAGAUCAAUUCGGAAGCGCUUUUUCUUAUUCUAGCAAACGGAAUUCCUUUGGUCUAAUUUAGGACUUUCAAAUCUAUUUUAUUUUAUCUAAUUCUAUCUACGCCCCAGGGGCUAGGAACAAAACAGUCCUUUCCUUUUUCUGAUCAUAGAGAAGCCGUAUGAAGCUAAGGUUUCAUGUACGGUUUUGAAAUAGCGGUGGGAACUGUGAUGUUAUCAUCGACUAUGAUUAUCUAACAGUUCAAGUACAGUUGAUAUAGUUGAAGCACAGUCAAAAUACGGUUUUUUUGGAUGGAAUAUUUGGCGUCAGCCUAUAGGUUUUCUGGUUUUUUUAAUUUCUUCUUUGGCAGAAUGUGAAAGAUUACCCUUUGAUUUACCAGAAGCGGAGGAAGAAUUAGUAGCAGGUUACCAAACUGAAUAUUCCGGUAUCAAAUAUGGUUUUUUUUAUCUUGUUUCUUACCUAAAUUUAUUAGUUUCUUCUUUAUUUGUAACAGUUCUCUACUUGGGCGGGUGGAAUUUAUCUAUUCCCUAUAUAUCCUUUUUUGAUUUUUUCCAAAUGAAUAAAGCAGUUGGAAUUUUGGAAAUGACAAUGGGUAUAUUUAUUACAUUAACUAAAGCUUAUUUAUUUCUCUUCAUUUCUAUCACAAUAAGAUGGACUUUACCGAGGAUGAGAAUGGAUCAGUUAUUAAAUCUUGGAUGGAAAUUUCUUUUACCUAUUUCCCUGGGCAAUCUCUUAUUAACAACCUCUUCUCAACUUGUUUCACUAUAAAUAAGCUUUAGUUAAUGUAAUAAAUAUACCCAUUGUCAUUUCCAAAAUUCCAACUGCUUUAUUCAUUUGGAAAAAAUCAAAAAAGGAUAUAUAGGGAAUAGAUAAAUUCCACCCGCCCAAGUAGAGAACUGUUACAAAUAAAGAAGAAACUAAUAAAUUUAGGUAAGAAACAAGAUAAAAUAAACCAUAUUUGAUACCGGAAUAUUCAGUUUGGUAACCUGCUACUAAUUCUUCCUCCGCUUCUGGUAAAUCAAAGGGUAAUCUUUCACAUUCUGCCAAAGAAGAAAUUAAAAAAACCAGAAAACCUAUAGGCUGACGCCAAAUAUUCCAUCCAAAAAAACCGUAUUUUGACUGUGCUUCAACUAUAUCAACUGUACUUGAACUGUUAGAUAAUCAUAGUAGAUGAUAACAUCACAGUUCCCACCGCUAUUUCAAAACCGUACAUGAAACCUUAGCUUCAUACGGCUUCUCUAUGAUCAGAAAAAGGAAAGGACUGUUUUGUUCCUAGCCCCUGGGGCGUAGAUAGAAUUAGAUAAAAUAAAAUAGAUUUGAAAGUCCUAAAUUAGACCAAAGGAAUUCCGUCUGCUAGAAUAAGAAAAAGCGCUUCCGAAUUGAUCUCAUCCUUUAUAAUAUAAAGAAAAUUUUUCUUUGUUCAGUAAUAACUUAAUCUUGGAAUAAAACACUUGUUACUUGUUAUAGGAAUUCCUUUGGUCUAAUUUAGGACUUUCAAAUCUAUUUUAUUUUAUCUAAUUCUAUCUACGCCCCAGGGGCUAGGAACAAAACAGUCCUUUCCUUUUUCUGAUCAUAGAGAAGCCGUAUGAAGCUAAGGUUUCAUGUACGGUUUUGAAAUAGCGGUGGGAACUGUGAUGUUAUCAUCGACUAUGAUUAUCUAACAGUUCAAGUACAGUUGAUAUAGUUGAAGCACAGUCAAAAUACGGUUUUUUUGGAUGGAAUAUUUGGCGUCAGCCUAUAGGUUUUCUGGUUUUUUUAAUUUCUUCUUUGGCAGAAUGUGAAAGAUUACCCUUUGAUUUACCAGAAGCGGAGGAAGAAUUAGUAGCAGGUUACCAAACUGAAUAUUCCGGUAUCAAAUAUGGUUUAUUUUAUCUUGUUUCUUACCUAAAUUUAUUAGUUUCUUCUUUAUUUGUAACAGUUCUCUACUUGGGCGGGUGGAAUUUAUCUAUUCCCUAUAUAUCCUUUUUUGAUUUUUUCCAAAUGAAUAAAGCAGUUGGAAUUUUGGAAAUGACAAUGGGUAUAUUUAUUACAUUAACUAAAGCUUAUUUAUUUCUCUUCAUUUCUAUCACAAUAAGAUGGACUUUACCGAGGAUGAGAAUGGACCAGUUACUAAAUCUUGGAUGGAAAUUUCUUUUACCUAUUUCCCUGGGCAAUCUCUUAUUAACAACCUCUUCUCAACUUGUUUCACUAUAAAUAAGAUAAUACAAUAAUAGUAAGAAUAUUUUCAACACAAAAGCUCUCUCAAACAAGAGAAAGAAACAUAUCUUUUUCAUAGAUAUUUAGAAUGAAUAUG